GGAAGGUUGGGCAUUGGCACGCCACGCGCUCUCGAAAAGCGUCACGGGGCAACCCGCUGGAGGUUCGACUCCUCCACCUUCCGC
Molecule: transfer RNA, 84 nt
Filed under: Streptomyces fulvorobeus
Lineage: Bacteria; Bacillati; Actinomycetota; Actinomycetes; Kitasatosporales; Streptomycetaceae
Description: tRNA-Ser
Source: RNAcentral